AAUCCGCCGCCUAGAAUUGACUGGUUUGGACUAAAUGUUGCAAGCGGGGAACCUUGAGCUACCUACGCCAGCGUUCUGGAUUAUUUUCCAAAUUUGGUUCCUGAUAAUCUGAGAAAGCUAUGCGCUCAGUAAGAGCAGGGACCUUGUUUUAUCAAACUUUGAUCUUUCAUUAAGCACACAGUGGGCAUUCAACAAACUUGUGUAAACUUGGAAUCAGAUUUAGCCCAGGCCGGUGCGGUGGCUCCUUCCUGUAAUCCCAGCACUUUGGGAAGCCUAGGAGGGCGGAUCGCUUGAACUCAGGUGUUCGAGACCAGCCUGAGCAACAUAGCGAGGCUCCGUCUCUACAAAAAAUACAAACACUAGCCGGCCCUGUGGUGCAGACCUGUAGUCCCAGCUACUGAAGAGGCUGAGGUGGGAGGAUCCCCUGAGCCCAGGCGGUCGAGGCUGCAGUGAGCUGAGAUCGGGCCUCUCCAUUCCAGCCCGGGCGACAAAGUGAGUGAGACCUUAUCUCAAAAAAAAAAAGAGUCCAAGCUUUAGAGAAGGAAAUAAGGCUAUUUUUAAACGGGUAUAUAUUAUUAAAUUGAGACCCUGGCUAUAUUAGGUCACCCUGCAUUCAUAUAAUUUACGACUUCAUGUAUUCACUCCGUUCGGCAUUACUAUCCCUAGUAAACAGCGAUUUGCCCUUAGCUAUGUAAACGAUUUUAGCUAUAUAGACGAUAUUUAUCAGCAUCAUAAAGAAGGAUUCACUGAACAUUCAUUGAAGACAUAAUUGUGUGUAACAUUGCGAGUAUUAAAUAUAGCUUUUUAGACAUAGCACUGGCCUUAGGUGGUAAUGCUGAAUGUUGUUGAUGCAUGAAUCUAUAACCUGCUAUUAAAUGUCCUCAUUUCUCAGAACAUAAAGUUAAUAAUGCUAUAUAAGAAACCAACCUCAUUAUACUGAACACCACUUCAGUUUUAGCUUGUGUUUUUGAAAUGAUGAUACUUCACAUCAAAGGCAAAUGUUGAGUUCUAGAGAUAAUUAAAAGCUUCCUCAGCUUUUUGCUAUGCACAAUAGAAAGAAAUAAGAGUAAUCCAAAUUUAGUUUAUAUUUGUAAGUGGCUUGGAACGUAAUUUAUUCAUGCAUUUGAAUGUGUUUGACUACAAAAAUAGUUGUUUAAUGUGGCUCCAAAAUAAAAGUUUACAGAAAAAUAGAGAUAGUUGCUAAUGUUACAUGGCUUAAGUGUUUUUAUUAUUUUACACCCUUAGGUAAUUUUUAUUUUGCAGCCUGUUUCUUUGUAAAAAGGAGAUAGAGACACUAACUCGCGAGCUGUGAAUAAUGUAUCCGUAUAAGAGGAUUUAUCACAGAUCAUAGUAGGUGCUUAAAAAUAUUGUGUUAUUGGCCGGGCGCGGUGGCUGACUCCUGUGAUCCCAACACUUUGGGAGGCUGAAGCAGGCGGAUCAUGAGGUCAAGAGAUCAAGACCAUUCUGGCCAACAUGGUGAAACUCCCUGUCUACUAAAAAUACAAAAAUUAGCUAGGCAUGGUGGCGCGUGCCUAUAGUCCUAGCUACUCGGGAGGCUGAGGCAGGAGAAUCGCUUGAACCCGGGAGGCAGAGGUUGCAGUGAGCUAAGAUUGUGCCACUGCACUCCAGCCUGGAGACAGAGUGAGACUCUGCACCCCCCCAAAAAAAUUGUGUUAUUAAAAUACAAAUGGCAGCUUCCACUCCACUGUAAUUGUCAAUUACAAGCUUAACUACAACUCACUGAGGUAUGAAGUGAAUGAGUUAUAGACCACAUAAGCAAAGUACUACAGGAACAAUGAAUAAGAAAACGUUACUUCUGUCAGAUAAUAUAUAAUUUGCCCUUAGGUCGUCAAUAACGCACUCCUUUAAAACUCUAAAUAUUGCACAGCAUCUACUGCAUCUCAAACAGUAGAGCCUCAAUGGCAAAGCCUUCACUGACUUCUUCAGAAAAAGUUAGGAUUGUUCCACUCCCCUCAGGACUCUGUAAGGUGUGGGCAGGGCACCGUGGCUCACGCCUGUAAUCCCAGCACUUUGGGACGCUGAGGCGGGUGGAUCACCUGAGGUCAAGAGUUCCAGACCAGCCUGGCCACCAUGGUGAAACCCCCAUCUUCCACUAAAAAUAAAAAAAAAUUAGCUGUGCGUGGUGGUGGGUGACUGUAAUCCCAGCUACUCGGGAGGCUGAGGCAGGAGAAUCGCUUGAACCCAGGAGGCAGGAGUUGCAGUGAGCUGAGAUCGUGCCACUGCACUCCAGCCUGGACAACAAGGGCAAAACUCCGACUCAAAAAAUAAAUGAAUAAAACUCUGGUAUUGUGUUUUGAUGGAAAGUACUAUGACUUCGGAGUACCACGAACCUGGAUUUCAGUCCCAGUUUUGUUGCUGUUAACCACUUCAGAUUUAAUGUCUUCAUCUGUAAAAUCGAAUAUAUGAAAAUGUAUGUCUUCUGUUUUGUGAAAAGUAAAUGAUAUAUGUAAAAACAGUAGGUGUUGCAGAAUGGGUACUCAGUAAAUGCCACUUCUCUACCCCUACUAAUUUCAAAGCUUUAUCUUUGUUUCUCCGGCACCCUAAUGUCUGGCACUUUAAAUGUUUGCUGAAUGAAUUAAUGAGUAAAAGAAGAGAAAUAAAAUGACAUUUCUCUUGCUAUGGAAUUGUUAAUGUCAUAAAAAACAAUACAAAUCAUUUUAUAUUGAUUUGUGAAAAAAAUUAUGAAUGAAAGGAUAACUACAUUACUGAAAAAAUGUUAACAACUUUAUUGAGAUAUCAUUGACAAUAAACUGCACAUAAUGUGUAAUUUUGAUACAUUUUGACGUAUGUAUACACCAGUGAAGCCAUCAACCCCAUCAAGAUAAUGAACAUAUCCAGACUUUCAAAAUUUUCCUGAAGUACCUUUAUAUCCAGAAUAAAAAUUCCAGAAUAUCCCGGAAUCCUUCCUGCCCGUCAAGGCCUCCUCACCAUGGCCCCUCAAAAUAACUGAUCGUCUUUCUGUCACUAUGAGUUGUUUGCAUUUUUUAAAAUUUUAUACAGGUGAAAUCAUAUAGUAUGUGUUCUUUUUUAUCUGUCUUAAUUCACUCAGCAUAAUUAUUUUGAGAUUCACCUGUGUAGUUGCUUGAAUCAACAGUUCAUUCCUUUUUAUUAGAGGAGGAUUCCGCUGUGUGGAUAUACCACAAUUUGUUUUUCCAUUCACCCAUUGAGAGAUAUUUGGUUUGUUUUCCAUUUUGACGACUGUAAAUAAGGCUUCUGUGAAUAUCUGUGUACGAAUCUUCGUAUAAACAUAAACUAAUUUUUCCUGGGUAAAUACCUAGGAGUAGAAUGAUAUGAUAGGUUAUCUUCAGCUUUUUAAAGAAACUGUCAAACUGUUUUCCAAAAACAGUUGUAAAGUUUUAUGUUUCCACCAGCAAUGUAGUUCCAUUUUCUCUAUUUUCUCAACAUCAUUGCCAACACUUCAUGAGGUCUAAAGAUGUUAAGCUUACGGCCGGGCGCGGUGGCUCAUGCAUGUAAAUCCCAGCACUUUGGGAGGCCAAGAUGGGCGGAGCACAAGGUCAGGAGUUUGACACCAGCCUGGUCAACAUGGUGAAACCCCAUCUCUAUUAAAAAUACAAAAAACU
RNAcentral lists this long non-coding RNA (3602 nucleotides) under Homo sapiens (human). RNAcentral describes it as "non-protein coding lnc-MYB-3:3". The record is from RNAcentral. Lineage: Eukaryota; Metazoa; Chordata; Mammalia; Primates; Hominidae.